UAAUGUGAGUGAUUUUAUUCUACUUUAUAGUUUAAAUAGAGUACUAUCGCUACGUCUAUCGGGGCGUUAAUAUCUUCCCUCGCUGCGCUGAACGGGGCGAUGUUCCGACGGGAGUCGGGACGCUAUAUCGUCCCUCGCUGCGACUGAAUGGGGAGAUAUCCCGACGGGAGUCGGGGCUCUAAUAUCUUCCCUCGCUGCGCUGAACGGGGCGAUGUUCCGACGGGAGUCGGGACGCUAUAUCGUCCCUCGCUGCGACUGAAAAGGAAUGUACUGGCAUGAUGAAGGUAGCUUUUUUACAGUGGAUAAAUAAAACUGGAUGAUAUAAAUGGUCGUACGAAUGCAAAGAAUUAUCAAGACAUGAUUGGAGCCUAUUAUUUGCCUCCGUAUAACAGAGGAAAACUUUGCUUAUCAGCAUGAGAUUUUUAUAGAAGAUUUACUCUAUUAUUUUUACCAGCACGGGGAUGAUAAUAAUUGGACGAUCGACGAAACCUUCACCCGGAUACGAAAAUACAACCGUGGCCGCGUAACUAUAGGCACCCACCCAAAUAACUAUAUUCGGUGCCUAUUGUCGGGAAACCCGGGAGGUGAUGUACUGGCAUGUGGACAACAAGAGCCGACGUGUUCUCUGGAGCCACAUGCUCAGAUACAUCGCCCCUGGUUCCAUCGUCGUUUCUGACAGUGCGGCCUAAUAUCGCGGUUGUACGACGAUGGGCUUCUCCGAACAUAAGACCGUUUAAUUAAUCACAGCCAGAGGGUCUUCGGGAGGUAAGGAGGAUAAACUGUGCUGUGUUAAGUGAAAGAAAUGAAUAAGCGUUAUUGAAAAGUGGGUACUUUCCGGUUAGCAGGGCGCCAGUCAAUUGAUGCGAUUUAACUCACGUGUAUUAAGUUAAUUAAUUAU
Long non-coding RNA from Centruroides sculpturatus (bark scorpion), 898 nucleotides. RefSeq lists it as uncharacterized. Lineage: Eukaryota; Metazoa; Arthropoda; Arachnida; Scorpiones; Buthidae. The transcript is spliced from 3 exons. The record is from RefSeq and is a predicted model, not a curated record.